This 189-nucleotide microRNA precursor is filed under the name Oryza brachyantha (malo sina). Its description in RNAcentral is "MIR812 microRNA precursor family". It matches the Rfam family "MIR812 microRNA precursor family". The record is from Rfam by way of RNAcentral. Lineage: Eukaryota; Viridiplantae; Streptophyta; Magnoliopsida; Poales; Poaceae.
AAUAAAUCAAUUUUUCACUUUUUAUCUAUAAUAUUUGAUUAUUCGUCUUAUUUAAAAAAAUUUAUGAUUAAUAUUUAUGUUUUCACUAAAUGAUAAAUUAUGAAUAGUAUUUUAAGUGUGACUAACUUUUUUUAAAUUUUUUGAAAAAUUUUUAAAUAAGACGGAUGGUCAAACACUAGACACGAAAAC